GUCAGCGGCGGACGGGUGAGUAACACGUGGGCAACCUGCCCGCAAGACCGGGAUAACUCCGGGAAACCGGAGCUAAUACCGGAUAACACCGAAGACCGCAUGGUCUUUGGUUGAAAGGCGGCCUUUGGCUGUCACUUGCGGAUGGGCCCGCGGCGCAUUAGCUAGUUGGUGAGGUAACGGCUCACCAAGGCGACGAUGCGUAGCCGGCCUGAGAGGGUGACCGGCCACACUGGGACUGAGACACGGCCCAGACUCCUACGGGAGGCAGCAGUAGGGAAUCUUCCGCAAUGGGCGAAAGCCUGACGGAGCGACGCCGCGUGAGCGAAGAAGGCCUUCGGGUCGUAAAGCUCUGUUGUGAGGGACGAAGGAGCGCCGUUCGAAGAGGGCGGCGCGGUGACGGUACCUCACGAGGAAGCCCCGGCUAACUACGUGCCAGCAGCCGCGGUAAUACGUAGGGGGCGAGCGUUGU
This 469-nucleotide ribosomal RNA is filed under the name Geobacillus kaustophilus. Its description in RNAcentral is "bacterial SSU rRNA". It matches the Rfam family "Bacterial small subunit ribosomal RNA", at positions 91 to 544 of the family's 1533-position model. Lineage: Bacteria; Bacillati; Bacillota; Bacilli; Caryophanales; Anoxybacillaceae. The record is from RNAcentral.